RNAcentral lists this ribosomal RNA (255 nucleotides) under uncultured bacterium. RNAcentral's name for it is "partial 16S ribosomal RNA". It matches the Rfam family "Bacterial small subunit ribosomal RNA", at positions 524 to 776 of the family's 1533-position model. The record is from RNAcentral.
UACAGAGGGGGGCAAGCGUUAUUCGGAAUUAUUGGGCGUAAAGGGCGCGUAGGCGGCUUGGCAAGUGGAAGGUGAAAUCCCUCGGCUUAACCGAGGAACUGCCCUCCAAACUGCUUCGCUUGAGACCGGGGAGAGGUGAGUGGAAUUCCCAGUGUAGCGGUGAAAUGCGUAGAUAUUGGGAGGAACACCAGUGGCGAAGGCGGCUCACUGGACCGGUACUGACGCUGAUGCGCGAAAGCGUGGGGAGCAAACGGG